Anas platyrhynchos (mallard) is the source of this 179-nucleotide non-coding RNA. The record is from RefSeq and is a predicted model, not a curated record. NCBI's taxonomy places the organism in Eukaryota, Metazoa, Chordata, Aves, Anseriformes, Anatidae.
GGAGCUGCGGAAGAAGCUCGGCCCCGUCAGCCCAAGCGCCGCUUUACCCAGGGAAGGAGUCCUGGAGUCAGGCAGGGGUCUCUGUGUCCCCAACCCUCCCCACCCCAUCCCGAAGACCCUGACUCACAGGGAUCCAGCCACUGUAAGUCGUCCUGGCUCUCCUCUACCUGGCUGCUGCC